RNAcentral lists this long non-coding RNA (201 nucleotides) under Gossypium barbadense (sea-island cotton). Its description in RNAcentral is "long non-coding RNA (GBAR_LNC013960)". The record is from RNAcentral. Lineage: Eukaryota; Viridiplantae; Streptophyta; Magnoliopsida; Malvales; Malvaceae.
GGAAAACAAGCACACAGCUAAGUAGGUUAAAGGUCAACAAACACAUUUUUAUGCGGUGUGUAUGAAAGGAAGGAAAGCUACGAAAUAAGGAUAGGAUUCGUUGAUAUGGUGAGGUAUCUAGAUUAUGGUCAAGUGUAGGGUUCGACAAAUAGAAGGGUCUAUAGUGAGCUGAGUAACUCAUAGGAUCAGGUGGAAUCCGCC